CAAGGAAUUUUCCACAAUGGGCGCAAGCCUGAUGGAGCAACGCCGCGUGCGGGAUGACGCCCUUCGGGUGUAAACCGCUUUUCGAGGGACGAAGGCAAUGACGGUACCCUCGGAAGAAGGAUCGGCUAACUACGUGCCAGCAGCCGCGGUAAGACGUAGGAUCCGAGCGUUGUCCGGAGUUACUGGGCGUAAAGCGCGCGCAGGCGGUCAGUCGCAUCGGCGGUGAAAGCCCCCCGCUCAACGGGGGAGGGUCCGUCGAGAUGGACUGACUGGAGGCAGGGAGAGGCCAGUGGAAUUCCGGGUGUAGUGGUGAAAUGCGUAGAGAUCCGGAGGAACACCAGUGGCGAAGGCGGCUGGCUGGACCUGACCUGACGCUGAGGCGCGAAGGCGUGGGGAGCGAACGGGAUUAGAUACCCCGGUAGUCCACGCAGUAAACGAUGGGAGACGUAGGUGUGGCGGGAGUUGACCCCUGCCGUGCCGGCGCUAACGC
This 490-nucleotide ribosomal RNA is filed under the name uncultured Chloroflexota bacterium. RNAcentral describes it as "bacterial SSU rRNA". It matches the Rfam family "Bacterial small subunit ribosomal RNA", at positions 355 to 858 of the family's 1533-position model. The record is from RNAcentral. Lineage: Bacteria; Bacillati; Chloroflexota.